This 3717-nucleotide long non-coding RNA is filed under the name Canis lupus familiaris (dog). RNAcentral's name for it is "lncRNA (ENSCAFG00000056080.1, ENSCAFG00845025253.1)". Lineage: Eukaryota; Metazoa; Chordata; Mammalia; Carnivora; Canidae. The record is from RNAcentral.
UUCGUUGAAAUAUUGAUACAUCUGCUCCUUUCAACUAGGAGCCCUUAACAUGUCAUGAAUGGAGCUUUCACGGGAGUGUUUUCCUAAUAAGAUGCCAGAUAAACAGAUUGUUUUCCUUCAUAUACAUUUUUAAUAUGAGGCUGAUUGGGAGUCGGAACUCCUAUAAUCUUGCCGUUACCAGACUACUUUCAUUAGCUGAGGACUGAGCAAGAAGCACUGACAGGAGCCCAGACCUUGGGUGUGGCUGUGAGGAGGCCAAGGGUGUGGUUCCAGGCCAGGGCCACACUUAGGACCUGUUUAGUGUGUCUAAAGUGACUUCACCUUCCUAAACCUUGGUUUCAUCGCCUGGUCAGACUGCCCAGAACAACCUCCAACUUCACAAUGUAUUCAAUGGGACGAUACAUGUGAAGCCAUUAGCACAGUCUGCAAUGCAGUAUAUUAUCAAUAAAUGUCACCAUACAGAGUUUAUCAAAGGUUUGUUUUAUAAGCUAGUUACAAAAUGACCAAUACUGGAUGAUUUUACCCAUAUGAGGUACCUAGAAUAGUCAGAUUCAUAGAAACUGAAAGUAGAAUGGUGGCUGUCAGCGGCGGAGGCAGAGGGAGUAGAGUGAAUGUUUUGUUUUGUUUAAGGAUUUUAUUUAUUUAUUCAUGAGAGAUACACACAGAGACACAGAGACAUAGGCAGAGGGAGAAACAGGCUUCCUGCGGGGAGCCCACGCAGGACUCGAUCCUGGGAUCCCAGGAUCACGACCCGAGCCAAAGGCAGAAGCUCAACCACUGAGCCACCCAGACCACCUGAGAGUGAGUCUUUAAUAGGACAGAGUUUCAGUUUACAAAGAUGAAAAUUUUCAUCUGGAGAUGGAUGGUGGUGAUGGUUGCACAACACUGUGAGUGUAUUCAAUGCCAUUGAGCUGUGCACUUAAAAAUGGUUAAAAUGGCAAAUUGUACCCGCACAUAUGUUAUAUACAUUUUACCACAAAAAAAUUCAUCAAGCCUUUUAUGCCCCAGUAAGAUAAUUUGGAAUUUAAUACAUGUUAGACUCCUAGGAGCUAUAAAGAUGUGUUUUUAGGUGAUAACUACCCCCCCCUCUUUCUUUCUGCCAUCAAAGGUACUGGUGGCAUAGCAGAAGCAAGUGUGAACACUGAUCCAUCACUUGUUUUUGACAAAAAUGAUAGUGGGAGUGGCAGCGGAGUUCGGAUACGUGUGUUACUGGGAAAGUCAUUCAUGAAGAGCUGAGGGGAAAGAAGGAAGAUGAGGAAGAAACACAAGUGGCAGAGGGGGUGAAGGAGACACAAGACAGAUAAUCACAGGCCUGGAACUCUGAUAAGAGGUCACCCAGGAUAUCUUCCUGCUGCAGGCCAAACACCCCUAGCUGUUUUCCUGACUCCAAAAGAUCUCUGGGAAACAGACACUUUGUUUUCUUUUCUUAAAGAUUUUAUUUAUUUAUUCUAGUGAGAGCAUGAGCAGUGGGGGGUGGCGGUAGAGGGAAAGGGAGAGGGAGAAACAGACUUCCCACUGAGCGGGGAGUGGGGGGGUCAGGGGGACUCGAUCCUGGGACACCCCUAUCAUGACUGAACCACAGGUAGAUGCUUAACCGACUGAGCCACCCGGGUGCCCCUACUCAUUGUUUUCAACAGGAAUCCAGUCUAGGCUCAUGCAACACUAAGCACAGAAGGUGCUCCCAGAAGAAUAAACUCAAAAGUCAAUCCCCUAUGCAGAUAAAUGUACUGAGUAGAAUCAAAUGGUAAAAACCAGGUCCUAAGAAGAGGGCAUAGACUGCCCUGUCAAUGGUGGGAAUGUGAUAAAUAAUGUGCAUUAAAUGCACAAUCUUUAUCACAGUCAAGAAAUAACUGAAUACUAAAUAAAUAAAUGUGAGUGAUCUGUGUAGAGGGUUAUUCUUCCUUCUGAUCAAUAGAUUGGCCUUUUCUGGGACGCCUGGGUGGCUCAGCAGUUGACUGCCUGCCUUUGGCCCAAGGUGUGAUCCUGGAGUCCUAGGAUCAAGUCCCACAUGGGGCUCCCCGCAGGGAGCCUGCUUCUCCUCCCUCUGCCUGUGUCUCGGCCUCUCUCUGUGUCUUUUGUGAAUGAAUAAAUAAAAUAUUAAAAAAAAAAAAAGAUUGGCCUUUUCUUUAUUCUGUUAAAACUUGCCUUUUCAGAGGCAGGCUGUAGGAAUGAGGUCGCGCCCAAUGGACGGGAUUAAUUAAAAUAAAGUCCUAGGGCGCCACCUACUGGUCGGUGGGAGGGGGCUGUGUGCGCAGGAGUAGGAACGUCUCUAAAAUCAGGGCUGGUAAAUUGUGUUCUUCCAAGUGUUAAAAUGUGUAGUUUGGGCUGCCUGGCUGGCUCAGUCAGAAGAGCCUGCAACUCUUGAUCUCGGGGUUGUGAAUUCAAGCUCCACGUUGAGUGUAGAGGUUACAUAUAAAAAUUACUUCUCCCUACGGUAUGCAGUGGAGUGGUACUUCAGUAGAGGGGUUUGCCUUCUAGCCAAGGAGGGUCUUUGACUCAAGCUUGGCUAGUAAACUUCUUGAUCUGGAACUUUGUACCUGGACUGGAUUCACGCAAGGAUGAAAAAGAGAGUGGGAACUCAUUAGUCUCACAAUACCAGCCUCUGACAAAAGUGACAACCAGUUUCCAUUUCCUAGAUCCCUGGAGCUGCAUUGGCCCUUUUUCUCAUGCAAACCUUGGUCUCUGGCCGUUCUGUUAGAACUGUGAACCAUCCAGUCUCCUUUCUGUAAAUCCUGUUGCUGGGAACCCAAAUCUGCCUCCAGUGCUCACAGCCAAGACCCUUGGCACACACACCUGCACUGAUUUGCAGUCUCCUCUCCCAAAUUGAGUAUUUCAUCUGCUUUGCCUUCUCUAGAAAAUCGUCUCUGUUUUGGUUGAAUGAUUCAUCUUCAUUUGUAUAUUAUUCCAUUGUGUUAACAGGAACUGAGGAAGUAGAGUCUCAGGCAUUUGGUAAGCCCUCUUGAAGUACUUGACCAAAGAUAUUGGUGAUCAGGGACGCCUGGGUGGCUCAGCCAUUGAGCGGCUGCCUUUGGCUCAGGGCGGGAUUCUGGUCUGGGGGUUGAGUCCUGCACUGGGCUCCCUGCAGGGAGCCUGCUUUUCCCUCUGCCUAUGUCAUUGCCUCUCUUUCUGUGUCUCUCAUGAGUAAAUAAAUAAAUAAAAUCUUAAAAAAAAAAAAGAUGUUGGCGAUCAUAGGGAGGAGAAGAAAAGCAAGUUAACGUUAAUAGGAAUGUUCUCCUUUUCCUUCUGCUGAACUCAUUUUUGUCAGACCCACAUAUAUUCUGAAUGUGACUUCACUGGAGGGAACCAAAUAAAUUCAUUUAUACACAGAAUCACUGACACAGUACUCCCCUUGCUGAUGUAAUAUCAAAGGAAGCAAAGAAUACAAUUUCCUUGAAAACCAAUAUUCUCUUAUUCGUGAGCUUUAUAAAAGUGGCAUCAUAUUCGGUAUAGACUUCCAGUUUCUCCUUUCUUUUAAAAUAAAGUCAACAUCAUGCUUCUAAGAUUCACUCAUGGUGUUACAUGGAUUUUAAGUUCUUUCAUUUCAAUGAUGUGUGAGGUGAAUAUACAAUUAUUACUAUUUACUCAUUUUCACACUGAUGAUAUUUAAAGCUUUUUGGGUUGGAUCGGAUAAUGGGUUCCCAGGUGUUCAUUAAUACUCUUUUACUUUAACAUAACUUUUGUAAAUGCCAAAUGUUAUAUUUAAAAGGCAAUAUUCUC